AUUGAACGCUGGCGGCAGGCCUAACACAUGCAAGUCGAACGAGUGGCGGACGGGUGAGUAAUGCAUGGGAAUCUAGCUGAUGGAGGGGGAUAACUACGGGAAACUGUAGCUAAUACCGCGUACCAUAGGAUGAGCCCAAGUGGGAUUAGGUAGUUGGUGGGGUAAAGGCUCACCAAGCCGACGAUCUCUAGCUGGUCUGAGAGGAUGACCAGCCACACUGGGACUGAGACACGGCCCAGACUCCUACGGGAGGCAGCAGUGGGGAAUAUUGCACAAUGGGCGCAAGCCUGACGCAGCCAUGCCGCGUGAAUGAAGAAGGCCUUCGGGUUGUAAAGUACUUUCAGUUGGGAGGCGUUACCUACAGAAGAAGCACCGGCUAACUCCGUGCCAGCAGCCGCGGUAAUUC
This 406-nucleotide ribosomal RNA is filed under the name uncultured bacterium. RNAcentral describes it as "partial 16S ribosomal RNA". It matches the Rfam family "Bacterial small subunit ribosomal RNA", at positions 30 to 526 of the family's 1533-position model. The record is from RNAcentral.